AUUAUAUAAAUUUGGUGAAACUUUAGAUACUUUCAUUCUACAAGAUUCUUGGAAUGACUUAUAAUUUGGGAUGGAGAGAGUAUAUAUUUUUGCCCUAAUUUUAAUGGGCCGGCAAGUCCAAAUUUUGGCUUGCCAUGAUUUUGGUUGGACAAGAAUUAAAAGCCAACCAAAUAGACCUUAAGUCCUCACAAUUUGAAUUUUUUUAAACAACCUCAAAUAGAGAAAUGAAAAACUCUCACCGUGAGAUGGGAUCAAAACGGACAAAAACAGGCCGAAAAACUCCUCUCCUAUUUCUGUUCCUAUAUUUUUAGUGAAAAUGAGAUUAGGUUCAGAAAAAAAAAGAUUUAAAACUGAUUGGGACAUACUGUAAUACGGAAACAGACAAAUACAGAUGGAAAAGCCGGUAAAUUAAGUUAGAAUAACAUGAUCAAAUAUUCUCAAGUAUACAUAAACAAAGUCACAAAAUAAUAUACAAGUACGAAGUUAUCGGUCCAAUAUUCACUAGCAUGACAAUGUGCACUACGGAAUACCCAUGCUUUGCCGAGUGUAUGUGGCACUCGGCAAAGGCGUAAAAACACUUGGCAAAGCCUUUGUCGAGUGCUAUACUUAGCAAAGACCACACGACAAAAUUUUAACCGGUAAAACAGUUUUUGCCGAGUGCUAUUUUUCGACACCUCGACAAAAAUAAAAACGAAAAAAAAUCCAAAAAAAGGAAAAAAAUUGCAGAAGGCCACCCGCCAGCUAAGUUCUGGAAUUUUUUUGCAUCUUUAAGGCCCAUCGGAUUCGAACUCGUGACCUCGCGUGUCUCCGAUGUUAACCAUUGCACCACACUAUGACUUGUGUUUAUAUUGCAUUUCGAUUCCUCAAAUAUUAUACCAAAUUAUGUGUAAAUUGAUUAUUUGAGGUCCUAAAUAAUUUCAAAUUAAAAAGUUGUCAACUACAAAGUUUUAUAAGUUUUUAGGAUCUACAAUUUUUAUUUAGAGAGUUUCUCCAUCCG
Molecule: long non-coding RNA, 997 nt
Filed under: Sorghum bicolor (sorghum)
Lineage: Eukaryota; Viridiplantae; Streptophyta; Magnoliopsida; Poales; Poaceae
Description: long non-coding RNA (SBIC_LNC003444)
Source: RNAcentral